UUGGGCCUACGGGAGGCAGCAGUAGGGAAUUUUCGGCAAUGGGGGGAACCCUGACCGAGCAAUGCCGCGUGAAGGAAGAAGGAAUUCGUUCUGUAAACUUCUGUUAUAAAGGAAGAAAGACGGAUGGAGGAAAUGACAUCCGAGUGACGGUACUUUAUGAGAAAGCCACGGCUAACUACGUGCCAGCAGCCGCGGUAAUACGUAGGUGGCAAGCGUUAUCCGGUAUUAUUGGGCGUAAAGAGGGAGCAGGCGGCAGCAACGGUCUGUGGUGAAAGACUGA
RNAcentral lists this ribosomal RNA (280 nucleotides) under uncultured bacterium. RNAcentral's name for it is "partial 16S ribosomal RNA". It matches the Rfam family "Bacterial small subunit ribosomal RNA", at positions 333 to 605 of the family's 1533-position model. The record is from RNAcentral.